This 69-nucleotide transfer RNA is filed under the name Ictidomys tridecemlineatus (thirteen-lined ground squirrel). Its description in RNAcentral is "Spermophilus tridecemlineatus (thirteen-lined ground squirrel) tRNA". It matches the Rfam family "tRNA". Rfam says of the family: Transfer RNA (tRNA) molecules are approximately 80 nucleotides in length. The record is from Rfam by way of RNAcentral. Lineage: Eukaryota; Metazoa; Chordata; Mammalia; Rodentia; Sciuridae.
GGGGCUAUAGCUCAGUGGUAGAGCACUUGCCCCUCACACAUGAGGUACUGGGUUCAAUCCUCAGCCCUA